This 73-nucleotide transfer RNA is filed under the name Microbacterium phage Zooman. Its description in RNAcentral is "tRNA-Asn". It matches the Rfam family "tRNA". Rfam says of the family: Transfer RNA (tRNA) molecules are approximately 80 nucleotides in length. Their secondary structure includes four short double-helical elements and three loops (D, anti-codon, and T loops). Further hydrogen bonds mediate the characteristic L-shaped molecular structure. tRNAs have two regions of fundamental functional importance: the anti-codon, which is responsible for specific mRNA codon recognition, and the 3' end, to which the tRNAs corresponding amino acid is attached (by aminoacyl-tRNA synthetases). tRNAs cope with the degeneracy of the genetic code in two manners: having more than one tRNA (with a specific anti-codon) for a particular amino acid; and 'wobble' base-pairing, i.e. permitting non-standard base-pairing at the 3rd anti-codon position. The record is from RNAcentral. Lineage: Duplodnaviria; Heunggongvirae; Uroviricota; Caudoviricetes.
UCCCCUGUAACUCAGCGGCAGAGUGCGAAGCUGUUAACUUCGAGGUCCCUGGUUCGAAUCCAGGUGGGGGAGC